RNAcentral lists this ribosomal RNA (455 nucleotides) under uncultured Prevotella sp. Its description in RNAcentral is "partial 16S ribosomal RNA". It matches the Rfam family "Bacterial small subunit ribosomal RNA", at positions 341 to 792 of the family's 1533-position model. The record is from RNAcentral. Lineage: Bacteria; Pseudomonadati; Bacteroidota; Bacteroidia; Bacteroidales; Prevotellaceae.
ACGGGAGGCAGCAGUGAGGAAUAUUGGUCAAUGGGCGAGAGCCUGAACCAGCCAAGUAGCGUGAAGGAUGACUGCCCUACGGGUUGUAAACUUCUUUUGCCGGGGGAUAAAAAACGGGACGUGUCCCGUCUUGCAGGUACCCGUGCGAAUAAGGACCGGCUAAUUCCGUGCCAGCAGCCGCGGUAAUACGGAAGGUCCGAGCGUUAUCCGGAUUUAUUGGGUUUAAAGGGAGCGUAGGCGGUGGAUCAAGUCAGCUGUGAAAUGUAGAUGCUCAACGUCUGCACUGCAGUUGAAACUGGUUCACUUGAGUGCGUAAGAGGUAGGCGGAAUUUAUGGUGUAGCGGUGAAAUGCUUAGAUAUCAUAAAGAACUCCGAUUGCGAAGGCAGCUUACUGGGCCGCAACUGACGCUGAAGCUCGAAGGUGCGGGUAUCGAACAGGAUUAGAUACCCUGGUA